CGGUAGCUCAGUGGAUAGAGCGUCUGCCUCCGGAGCAGAAGGCCGCAGGUUCGAAUCCUGUCCGGG
This 66-nucleotide transfer RNA is filed under the name Actinomyces gerencseriae. It matches the Rfam family "tRNA", at positions 5 to 66 of the family's 71-position model. Rfam says of the family: Transfer RNA (tRNA) molecules are approximately 80 nucleotides in length. Lineage: Bacteria; Bacillati; Actinomycetota; Actinomycetes; Actinomycetales; Actinomycetaceae. RNAcentral also lists the same sequence under 1 other name. The record is from RNAcentral.